Molecule: ribosomal RNA, 484 nt
Filed under: uncultured bacterium
Lineage: Bacteria
Description: partial 16S ribosomal RNA
Rfam family: Bacterial small subunit ribosomal RNA
Source: RNAcentral
AGUGAACGCUGGCGGCGUGCUUAACACAUGCAAGUCGAACGAGAACGGGCUAUAGCUUGCUAUAGUUGUCAGCUAAGUGGCGCACGGGUGAGUAAUGUAUAGGUAAUAUGCCUCUUACUAAGGGAUAACAAAUGGAAACGUUUGCUAAUACCUUAUACUCCUUAUUAACAGAAGUUAAUAAGGGAAAGAUUUAUUGGUAAGAGAUUAGCCUGUAUUGUAUCAGUUAGUUGGUGGGGUAAUGGCUUACCAAGACUAUGACACAUAACUGGUUUGAGAGGAUGAUCAGUCACACUGGAACUGAGACACGGUCCAGACUCCUACGGGAGGCAGCAGUGGGGAAUAUUGCACAAUGGACGGAAGUCUGAUGCAGCAACGCCGUGUGGAGGAUGACACAUUUCGGUGCGUAAACUCCUUUUAUAUGAGAAGAUAAUGACGGUAUUAUAUGAAUAAGCACCGGCUAACUCCGUGCCAGCCGCCGCUGUAA